Molecule: long non-coding RNA, 502 nt
Filed under: Homo sapiens (human)
Lineage: Eukaryota; Metazoa; Chordata; Mammalia; Primates; Hominidae
Description: HSALNT0401518
Rfam family: ZNFX1 antisense RNA 1 conserved region 2 (bases 214-306)
Source: RNAcentral
AGCGACGCGCGCGGAGCGGGCGGGAAAGAGAGCGUUUCGGGUCCAGUGCGCAGGUGCGAAAGCCAUCUUUGGUUAUAUAAGGGAGGUUCAGGAAGCCAUUCGUUCUUUCGCGUCUGCGGUGCCCGGAGUGUGGUACUUCUCCUAGUUGCAGUCAGGCUUCAUACGCUAUUGUCCUGCCCGUAAGUUCCCGUUUUGUGUGUGGUUAGAGCAGCCAGCGGGUACAGAAUGGAUUUUGGAAGAGGGAGUCACCACUGGACCUCCAAGGAAGCCACGUGCAGACAUCUACAACCUUCGAUCUCCUGACGAAAACUGGCGAUGGAAUAUGAGAGGAGCCCUCUGGAAAGAAAAGGACAGACCCUGUGCUUUCAUGAAAGUGAAGAUCUGGCUGAACCAGUUCCACAAGGUUACUGUAUACAUAGCCUGAGUUUAAAAGGCUGUGCCCACUUCAAGAAUGUCAUUGUUAGACUUUGAAAUUUCUAACUGCCUACCUGCAUAAAGAAAA